GUGGCCUAGUGGUUAGAGCGUCCUCCUUGGAUGCGGGAGGUAGUUGGUUCGAAUCCCGAUAGAGUCA
Molecule: non-coding RNA, 67 nt
Organism: Potamilus streckersoni
Lineage: Eukaryota; Metazoa; Mollusca; Bivalvia; Unionida; Unionidae
Source: the annotation of a GenBank genome assembly